GAAGAAUACCGGUGGCGAAGGCGGCCUCCUGGAUCUGUACUGACACUGAGGUGCGAAAGCGUGGGUAGCGAACAGGAUUAGAUACCCUGGUAGUCCACGCCGUAAACGAUGACAACUAGCUGUUGGGAGACAAUGUCUUUCAGUGGCGCAGCUAACGUUUUAAGUUGUCCGCCUGGGGAGUACGGCCGCAAGGCUAAAACUCAAAUGAAUUGACGGGGACCCGCACAAGCGGUGGAGCAUGUGGUUUAAUUCGAUGCAACGCGAAAAACCUUACCUACUCUUGACAUACUUGGAAGCUCUUGUAAUGAGAGUGUGCCUUUUGGAACCAAGAUACAGGUGCUGCAUGGCUGUCGUCAGCUCGUGUCGUGAGAUGUUCCGUUAAGUCGGAUAACGAGCGCAACCCUUACCCUUAUUUGCCAGCGAUUCGGUCGGGAACUAUAAGGGGACUGCCGGUGAUAAACCGGAGGAAGGUGAGGACGACGUCAAGUCAUCAUGGCCCUUACGAGUAGGGCUACACACGUGCUACAAUGGGGAAUACAGACGGACGCUAAGCCGCGAGGUGGUGCUAAUCCUAAAAAGUUCUUCGUAGUCCGGAUUGGAGUCUGCAACUCGACUCCAUGAAGUCGGAAUCGCUAGUAAUCGCGAAUCAGCAUGUCGCGGUGAAUACGUUCUCGGGUCUUGUACACACCGCCCGUCACACCAUGGAAGUGGAUUGCACCAGAAGUAGAUAGUCUAACCUUCGGGAGGGCGUUUACCACGGUGUGCUUCAUGACUGGGGUGAAGUCGUAACAAGGUAGCCGUAGGGGAACCUGUGGCUG
RNAcentral lists this ribosomal RNA (818 nucleotides) under marine metagenome. RNAcentral's name for it is "bacterial SSU rRNA". It matches the Rfam family "Bacterial small subunit ribosomal RNA", at positions 701 to 1520 of the family's 1533-position model. The record is from RNAcentral.